AGAUGUGAGGGUGAUUUGGCUAUAGCAUCUGUCACCCCAUUGAUUACCAGUGUUGAUUUGGCUCAUCUGGCUGGCUAGGCAGGUGUCCCCUUCCUCCCUCACUGUUCCAUGUAUAUCCUGCCCAAAGCUACAUGCUCAGUCUAAGAGAAUGACCUUCCUUGAAUGGAGGAUGAUGGGUCUUGGUUAAGGUUAUAUGAGUAACUGUGCUCCCUGCUAGAACCUCUAAGCAAGCUCUCAAGCUAUAGGCUUCUGACUUGGUUCCCAGUACAAGGCAUGGAUUCCCUCCCAGAGAGCAGGCUAACAUAUCCAAUCAGAGAGCAGUUGAUU
RNAcentral lists this small nuclear RNA (327 nucleotides) under Jaculus jaculus (lesser Egyptian jerboa). Its description in RNAcentral is "7SK RNA (ENSJJAG00000009356.1)". It matches the Rfam family "7SK RNA". From Rfam's summary of the family: 7SK was discovered as an abundant small nuclear RNA in the mid-70s but a possible function has only recently been suggested. The record is from Rfam by way of RNAcentral. Lineage: Eukaryota; Metazoa; Chordata; Mammalia; Rodentia; Dipodidae.